This 104-nucleotide microRNA precursor is filed under the name Marmota monax (woodchuck). Lineage: Eukaryota; Metazoa; Chordata; Mammalia; Rodentia; Sciuridae. The record is from RNAcentral.
AUAUGAAUCAUCUAGUGAUCUUAAUAUGUUACAGAUUCUGCUUUGGCAGGUCUAGAGUGAGCCUGGAAUUCUGCAAUCCUAAUAAGCUCCCAUGUGCUGCUACU